GUUUAUCUUUUUUCUCUUUAAAAUAAAGAAAAAGAUCAGAGAGCACAGAUAUUAGACAAUUACCAAUCUUAUCCAAGUGGCUUCAGCCAGGGUCGUGAGUUUAAAUAUUGGUAAAUAACAAGGAAAUGAAGGCAGAACCUGUGUUGAGAUGUUUGGUAAUGAAGGAAAGAGGAGAUGGACUGGGAACAGGAAGGGUAAGUCAGACUAACGGCCCUUGCUGGACAUCCUUAACUUCAGACUUCCUAGUACAAAUGCCAUCUCUUCUGCACAACUUCGCCUAAUAUUAAAAAUCUGUUUCUCUCUAGCUUCUCAUAUCCCUUGCCAUAUGCCCUUUUGCCUCAUGACCAUUUGCCUAUAUAUCUAAUCUUUUCUGUGCUCUAUUUCAUUUAGCUUUUAACUGUCACACCUUCUAGUAUACUUCCUUGCCCAAAGCAGACACCGUGAUCCUUAUCACUUUCCUCCCUAGAGUACUCUGUUCAGUACAAAGCAAGAGAAAGUCUAGUAUUGCCUUUCCCCUUUCAACAUUGCAGAGUUAAUAAUUGUCUUUGACUAGUACUAAAGUCAGACUGCAGAUCCUGAAUUUGAUAAUCAUGGUUUAAUUAAAAUUCCAUUUUGAUGUACAAUAACAUAUAAGCAUUUAAUCAAAGAAUUAAAUGUCUUCUUUACACAGGAUGGUCUAGCAUAUUGGAAAGUGAGAGAAAAUUUGAAUAUCUCAGACCAGAAUGCAAUCCUGGCACUGAUAUUUACUCAUGUGAACUUGAAUAAGCCAUUAAUUUCCUGUCCAUUAAAUGGACUGGGAGACACUUCAAGGCAGAAAUGAGGUGUGGCUCAUGUUCAUUUUACCGGAGCCUGGAAUGGCGCUGAGCACAGAGAAGAUCAUCAGCUGAUGUCUACCCUGCACACGUGAAUAACAGGUCAUGAGGCCACUGCAGUCAUCAUAACAACUCACCUGACUCCAUCCAUGUUGAAGUGUCUGAGCCUCUCCAGCAUGUCUGCCCAUCACCUAUAACCUGGCCAGAAGCACCAACUUGUUUUUCUGUUAUUGUAAUGUUUAAUGAGUAAUCUUUUAAAAUAGUUUUUGCAUGAUUAAAAUGUUUAGUUCCAGACCUUUGGGUAAAUGAUCUCUUUAUUCUACCUCCCUUGUGAGGUAAAGAAAGAUGAAGCAUGUAAACCCCUUGACACAGGACAUGGCAUGGGAAGGAUCCACAGAAAUUUAGGAUGUGCUGAAAUGGUACUCCUUGACUGGAAGCUUUCGGUUCAGAAGGCCUUUUCUAAUGCAUUCAGAGAAAAAUAAAUCUAAGACCUUCUCCCUAUGGCUGGAACAAUAUAGGUUUGGAAUAGCAAAUAGGCUAUGUUAUGGUUUAUACCUAGAUGUCUCCCUAAAGCCUCAUGUGAUCGGAGAUGGGACCACUGGAAGGUGAUUAG
Long non-coding RNA from Chinchilla lanigera (long-tailed chinchilla), 1425 nucleotides. RefSeq lists it as uncharacterized. Lineage: Eukaryota; Metazoa; Chordata; Mammalia; Rodentia; Chinchillidae. The transcript is spliced from 3 exons. The record is from RefSeq and is a predicted model, not a curated record.